UGAGUAACCUGCCCUUAACUCUGGGAUAAGCCUGGGAAACUGGGUCUAAUACCGGAUAUGACUCCUCAUCGCAUGGUGGGGGGUGGAAAGCUUUUUUGUGGUUUUGGAUGGACUCGCGGCCUAUCAGCUUGUUGGUGAGGUAAUGGCUCACCGAGGCGACGACGGGUAGCCGGCCUGAGAGGGUGACCGGCCACACGUGGGACUGAGACACGGCCCAGACCUCCGUACGGGAGGCAG
This 237-nucleotide ribosomal RNA is filed under the name uncultured bacterium. Its description in RNAcentral is "partial 16S ribosomal RNA". It matches the Rfam family "Bacterial small subunit ribosomal RNA", at positions 118 to 351 of the family's 1533-position model. The record is from RNAcentral.